CUCAACCUGGGAACUGCAUCUGAUACUGGCAAGCUUGAGUCUCGUAGAGGGGGGUAGAAUUCCAGGUGUAGCGGUGAAAUGCGUAGAGAUCUGGAGGAAUACCGGUGGCGAAGGCGGCCCCCUGGACGAAAACUGACGCUCAGGUGCGAAAGCGUGGGGAGCAAACAGGAUUAGAUCCCCUGGUAGUCCACGCCGUAAACGAUGUCGACUUGGAGGUUGUGCCCUUGAGGCGUGGCUUCCGGAGCUAACGCGUUAAGUCGACCGCCUGGGGAGUACGGCCGCAAGGUUAAAACUCAAAUGAAUUGACGGGGGCCCGCACAAGCGGUGGAGCAUGUGGUUUAAUUCGAUGCAAC
Molecule: ribosomal RNA, 353 nt
Filed under: Shigella dysenteriae
Lineage: Bacteria; Pseudomonadati; Pseudomonadota; Gammaproteobacteria; Enterobacterales; Enterobacteriaceae
Description: bacterial SSU rRNA
Rfam family: Bacterial small subunit ribosomal RNA
Source: RNAcentral